Gallus gallus (chicken) is the source of this 903-nucleotide long non-coding RNA. The record is from Ensembl. NCBI's taxonomy places the organism in Eukaryota, Metazoa, Chordata, Aves, Galliformes, Phasianidae.
CUUUGAAAGUUGCUCAGUAGAUUCCACAGAAUCACAAAAUUGUAGGAGCUGGAAAGGACCUCCAGAGAUCAUCAAAAUAAGCUCAGUGUAGCAUGAUUCAUAGCGUACUGUUGAUACCCUGCACCUUCUGCUUAAAAUAAGGACUCCUUCCAAUUAUGAAAAAUAUCAUAUUAAUUGAGCUACAUUUUGCAUGAUUAUUCCCUGGGAAGAUGAGAACUUCUUGCUUCACUGUACCGUAAGAAUUCAUCUGGAACAGAUCCAAUUAGGAGUGACUUUAUGGUAUACAGAGACACUGGUCUGAUGAAUUUCUAAUGUCAAACAUAUAUGCUUUACAGCAGCAUUUAUUGGUAGCUAGCACUACUCACAUCUAGUUCCAAAAGUCUGUCUCAGGUACUGCAAUUGGUGGAUGGAAUAAGGACUUGUUAUGGGAGUCUUUUGGAGUGUAGCAAGCAAUACCUAUGUACAAAUAGUUACAAGAUUUGAAGCUCCAAAACAGCAAGCCAGCGAGGAUGAUUAUCUCAUUCAUUUCCUGUAGUUGCUGACAAGUUGGUCCAAUGGACACUCACAUAGGAACAGAAAGAAGACUAUAUGCAAGUUUCUCAGGACCUAUGGAACAAAUAAGAGGUUGCAGGUGGAAGUUUCCUGGAUUGCAUCAUUACCAGUGAUGACAUGUGGUGUCACCCCUAAGAGCUGGAGUCAAAACAGUAGUCCAUGAAGUGCCAGCACGUGAAUUCCCAUCAAGAAAAAAAGUACAAGAGUCAACCUCAGCAGGUCAUCAAUAAAGAUAUUAAAGAGGACAGGCCCCAGCACCGACCCCUGGGGAACACCACUCGUGACCGGUCACCAGCUGGAUUUAACUCUGUUCACUACCACUCUCUGGGCCCAGCCCUCCAGACAGUUCCU